ACCUGCACAUUGUCACGGGAACAAACCAUCCCCACAGGGACUGGCAUUUGUAAGCCAUUGUCAUACAUGCUUGGCACGUUAGAAAUCCAGAGGGCAGAAUGCCUCCCUCUCUCCACUACAAAUAAAGGUAGCCAGGCAGGUCAGAGUUAAUGAACAACAUACCAUGAUGUCUUCUUUAACAAAUCCCUGGCAACUAAGCUUCCUCACCACAAACAAAUGAACAAGUGCCAUUCAGCAGCCACUCCAAGCUGGUGUUAGGUCAGUGCCCGGCCAGAGGUUCACGAUAUCUAUGGAAAGCAGGUUGCAAUGGCUCGGGCGGGAGAGUGUAAUUGAUGGACAAACUCAAGCACUCAAAGGCCACCCAUUUGCUUCCCACCUCAAACCUCUUAGCCAGUGAUACAGAGAGAAGAAGAGGAGGAAGAGACACCUCAGGGAGAGGGACACUGUGUCGGUUUCCUGUGGCUGCUGUAACAAAUUCGCACAGACUGAGAGCCUUCGAACAGCAGGCAUGGAUCCUCUCACGGCUCUGGAGGCCAGAAGCCCAGGAUCAAGGUGUCAGCGAGGAUGCCAGCCUUUGGACUGAAGUCCCACCCUAUGACCUCGCCUUAAUUUGAUUACGUCUGCAAAGAUGCUAUUCCAGAAUAAGGUCACAUUUACAGUUGCUGGGGGUAUGAUCGCUUGGAGAACACAGUUCAAACCCCUGCAGACACAAAUUCAUGCCUGCCCACCAGCUCGAGCCCCAGACACUGCUUUCAGGGGAGCCCAUGCCAAGGCAGCAGCUUGGUGACGCAAGGUGAGCUGAAGGAGAGCCGCUUGGGUGAGGAUUAUGAAGGCACGGGUGCCAUGGAAACCACUCUGAAGGCCCCCUAAAGCUGCAGCUGUCAGGAGGGGCUGUCUGCUGCCAUUGGUCGGCCACGUGGACCCUCUCCCUAACACGAUGCGUGACUUUUAUUUAUUUUACUCUGUUUUGCAUCUUAUGCCUGCUCUCGGCUUCUCUUGGCUUCCUCACAGUCCUGGUGCAGGAUGCUGCCUGCAGGUCAGUAGGAUAAAGGUGCUAAUGUUUUCUGUUUCUCUUUUUUGAACUUCUGACUUUUUAGGCUCAUUUUCUGGUGCUCUCUCCUCCAUGCCAUAAGGCAGCACAGAUUUCAAGCCAUAGAUGUUGGAGGCAGAAAAUGGGAUUAUGUUAGACAGAGAGGGAAGCCAGCUCUUCUAGCAGGUGCUGUAGAAAUGGCUUCUGAUUUUGGUCACAGAAGCAGUCCCUAACUUUCCCUGCAAAUCCAAGAAGCCCUCAAAGGGGCCAAAGGCAGGCUCUUUAGCACAAUGUCAAUCUGAGCAGAAUGGAAGGGUUGCCAGAGGUUGCUAGUGAGAUUCAAAGCCCUGUGGGUGCCUUGAUCUUCCUAAGCUUGCUUUUAGAGAAGUGUGCUGUCGAAACUUCAGGAGGCCGCCAGCUUCUGGUUGGACCUCAACCUCCUCCUCCCUCAACCUCCUCCUCCCUUUGAGUAGGAAUCAGAAGAAUCUUUUACAUUAGCCUUUGCCUUGAUAGUUUUUAUAUCCUUCAUUUUAUUUCUUUCCAGCAAUGGCCCUGAGAAAUUGGCAGGCGAAGUGCCAUUAACCCUGCAUUGGAGAGGAGGAAAUUGAGACCCAAUUUUUUUUUUUUUUUUUUGAGACAGAGUCUCGCUUUGUCACCCAGGCUGGAGUGCAGUGGUGCGAUCUCAGCUCGCUGAAAUCUCCACCUUUCUGGUUCAAGUGAUUCUCAUGCCUCAACCUUCCGAGUAGCUGGGAUUACAGGCGUGUGCCACCAUGCCUGGCUAAUUUUUGUAUUUUUAGUAGAGACAGGGUUUCACCAUGUUGACCAGGCUGGACUUGAACUCCUGACCUCAAGCGAUCCACCUGCCUUAGCCUCCCAAAGUGCUGGGAUUAUAGUCGUGAGCCACUGUUUCCAACUGAGACCCAAUAAUUUAAGUAGAAGGGCUGGGACUGGGGCCUGAGGCUGCUGCUCCCUGCCUAAGGCUCUGAGACUGCUUGAUCACAGGGUCAAGAUCUUUGAUGAAGCCGCUUUCUCAAGCUGUGGGUGGGCUUUUCCUGGUAGGAAAUUUGCCUGAGACCUGGCAAAGAUGGGACCUUUUAAAUAGUGAAGGGAAAUGAGCAAUCCUUCCAAAGUCAAGUUCCUCAACGAAGCCCUUCUAAACACUGUCUCUCCUCCCUGCACACAUGCCUAUGUGCACACAAUACACAUGCUUGUUCAUGCUUUAUCCCUCUUGGUUAGGGGUCUAUCCCCAUCAAGCCAUUAAAGUUGUUCUGGUGGAAUCUCUGAUGACACAUUUUUUUUUUGGCUUGUGAAAACCAACCAUUUUGUUAUUUCAUGAGUUUAUGAGUUGACUGGGCUCAGCUGGGAGGUUCUUCUGGAUGGGGCUUCAGUCAUAAACAAACAUGACUAAGUCAGAGUCCCCAAGAUGUAUCACUCACAUCUGGCAUUUGAUGCUGACUCACUCUGGGCUGGC
RNAcentral lists this long non-coding RNA (2501 nucleotides) under Homo sapiens (human). RNAcentral describes it as "HSALNT0245723". Lineage: Eukaryota; Metazoa; Chordata; Mammalia; Primates; Hominidae. The record is from RNAcentral.